GGGCCCGUAGCUCAGUUUGGAUAGAGCAUCUGCCUCCUAAGUAGAGGGUCGUGGGUUCAAAUCCCAUCGGGCCCGCCA
This 78-nucleotide transfer RNA is filed under the name Candidatus Wukongarchaeum yapensis. RNAcentral describes it as "tRNA-Arg". It matches the Rfam family "tRNA". From Rfam's summary of the family: Transfer RNA (tRNA) molecules are approximately 80 nucleotides in length. Their secondary structure includes four short double-helical elements and three loops (D, anti-codon, and T loops). The record is from RNAcentral. RNAcentral also lists the same sequence under 2 other names. Lineage: Archaea; Promethearchaeati; Candidatus Wukongarchaeota; Candidatus Wukongarchaeia; Candidatus Wukongarchaeales; Candidatus Wukongarchaeaceae.